GAAGCCAUCAAUCACAGCUUUCUCUGUAACUGCACUGCGCCUCCAUGCUCACCCUGCCCUACUCAAACAGGAAUUCAUUUCUGCACCCCCUACCUGUCUUUGACUUUCCCACAACCGCAAAAUACUCCAUCCAUUGUGGCCAGUGGUGAGAAGCUCAACAACACUGUGACACAGCAAUGUGUGGUACUGUACUAUCUUCAGAUCCGGGCAGAAGAGUGAGGACAAUUCCCAGUCAGCCACAUGAUCACAACCACAAUGAUCCUGCCAGUUUUGCCAAGGAAAUGUUUGUGCUGCAAAUAUCCCACGGAUAUGAGAAAGUUAUUUAAGUGAUUUUAAAUCUCAAUGUCUCCAUUAAUAAAAUGAAGAUAAGAUGUUGGGCUUGAUCCAAGGCCCUGAUGAUGCAAAGACAUAUUAAGG
Molecule: long non-coding RNA, 417 nt
Filed under: Heterocephalus glaber (naked mole-rat)
Lineage: Eukaryota; Metazoa; Chordata; Mammalia; Rodentia; Bathyergidae
Description: lncRNA (ENSHGLG00000040704.1)
Source: RNAcentral